Molecule: long non-coding RNA, 1264 nt
Organism: Scylla paramamosain (green mud crab)
Lineage: Eukaryota; Metazoa; Arthropoda; Malacostraca; Decapoda; Portunidae
Exons: 2
Source: RefSeq, a predicted model, not a curated record
CAUCAGUGACGUAUCAGUGCCGUAUCCGCUCAGUGCUUCAGUGUCAGUGAAAAAAAAUAUCGUUACUUUGAAUUUGACUGACGCGUUCACACACGUCCGGCGCAGUACCGUGUUUUGACUCUCAGUGACCGUUACGUCUCCGUUCCGUGAAACUGAAUAUCGUCGCCACCGAUAUUUUCAGAUUUUCACGGACGCCGGAAGCUAUGGAUGACGAACUACUCAUUGAACUGGUGCGGAACCAUCCAGUUCUGUAUGAUCUCUCACAACCAAAAUAUAUGGAUUCCAACUUUAAACAAGAUAUAUGGAAUAAAAUAGGAGAAGAAAUGAAAGUAGAUGGUUCAGCAUGUAAAAGCAGAUGGAACAUAUAAGGGACAAUUACAGAAAAUCUAUGAAGAAGACUUCAACUAAGAGUGGGCAAAGUGCAAAGAAAAUUAAACUGUACAAAUUUUCUGAGCAAUUAAGCUUUUUAAAGUUAUACAUGCACGAGAGGGAAACAAAGGGAAACAUCGCAAGUGAGGAACAUGAAGGAAACAAUCACGACGAUGUUGUAGAAAACCAGGAGGACGAAGAAGAGAACAUCCAGACAGAUGCAGGGAACCACAGUAUUGGACGGAGGCCUGCAUGAAGAUUUGCAGACACAACCAUUGCCCUCACCAAAGCCUACUCUUGAAGCUAAAGUUAAGUCAUUAGCAGGAAAUCAAAGAAGAGAGUGGCACCUCAACAAACAGCUUCUGCAAAAUUAAUGGAGUAUUUGAUAAGUAAACAAGAAAAUCAAACCGCUUCCACCCACCACACCCUGUUGACGCAUUUCUAGCAGGCAUUGCUCCAACUCUCAAGACUUUGACCCCUUAUUAUUUGAAUGUAGCAAAAUCUGAAAUAUUUGCUACAGUACAGAAAUAUGAAAUGCAAAUGCUUAUCAAUCAACAUCAUUUGAAAGACUACCUGAGCCUUCAGCUUCUACAUCAUCAACUUCGACUCCACAUCCCUCACCUCAGCCAGUGCAGGAACAUACAACAGUAACAUAUGGAGAUCAGCAACAGAAGUUAUCUACUUAUACAUCAGUUCCAAACAGCGCCAAUCCUUUGCAAAACUACUUUUCAACUUUCAGGAUUCUUAACUCUUCAAUAGGCUAUACAAACUUAAAACAUUAGCGUUAUCACUAACGUCAAGAAACACACAUAAGUAAUGAUGAAUUUUGAGAGUGAGAAACAAAUUAAUGUACGUACUGUCACUUAGCAUGAAAAUAAACUUUUAAAAGUUUAAA